This 910-nucleotide ribosomal RNA is filed under the name uncultured bacterium. RNAcentral describes it as "bacterial SSU rRNA". It matches the Rfam family "Bacterial small subunit ribosomal RNA", at positions 33 to 948 of the family's 1533-position model. The record is from RNAcentral.
ACGCUGGCGGCGUGCUUAACACAUGCAAGUCGAACGAUGAAGCCUAGCUUGCUAGGUGGAUUAGUGGCGAACGGGUGAGUAAUACGUGAGUAACCUACCUUUAACUCUGGGAUAAGCCUGGGAAACUGGGUCUAAUACCGGAUACGACCAAUCUCCGCAUGGGGUGUUGGUGGAAAGCGUUAUGUAGUGGUUAUAGACGGGCUCACGGCCUAUCAGCUUGUUGGUGAGGUAACGGCUCACCAAGGCGACGACGGGUAGCCGGCCUGAGAGGGUGACCGGCCACACUGGGACUGAGACACGGCCCAGACUCCUACGGGAGGCAGCAGUGGGGAAUAUUGCACAAUGGGCGCAAGCCUGAUGCAGCGACGCCGCGUGAGGGAUGACGGCCUUCGGGUUGUAAACCUCUGUUAGCAGGGAAGAAGAGAGAUUGACGGUACCUGCAGAGAAAGGGCCGGCUAACUACGUGCCAGCAGCCGCGGUAAUACGUAGGGCGCGAGCGUUGUCCGGAAUUAUUGGGCGUAAAGAGCUUGUAGGCGGUUUGUCGCGUCUGCUGUGAAAGGCCGGAGCUUAACUCCGUGUAUUGCAGUGGGUACGGGCAGACUAGAGUGCAGUAGGGGAGACUGGAAUUCCUGGUGUAGCGGUGGAAUGCGCAGAUAUCAGGAGGAACACCGAUGGCGAAGGCAGGUCUCUGGGCUGUAACUGACGCUGAGAAGCGAAAGCAUGGGGAGCGAACAGGAUUAGAUACCCUGGUAGUCCAUGCCGUAAACGUUGGGCACUAGGUGUGGGGGACAUUCCACGUUUUCCGCGCCGUAGCUAACGCAUUAAGUGCCCCGCCUGGGGAGUACGGCCGCAAGGCUAAAACUCAAAGAAAUUGACGGGGGCCCGCACAAGCGGCGGAGCAUGCGGAUUA